ACUUCCGUGAUGAUUAUCCCAUUGACUUUCGUUCUUCUGAGUCUUCUGAAGCAACUUCUUGUUCUGAGAAGU
Molecule: small nucleolar RNA, 72 nt
Filed under: Xenopus laevis (African clawed frog)
Lineage: Eukaryota; Metazoa; Chordata; Amphibia; Anura; Pipidae
Description: Small nucleolar RNA SNORD59
Rfam family: Small nucleolar RNA SNORD59
About the family: U59 belongs to the C/D class of snoRNA which contain the C (UGAUGA) and D (CUGA) box motifs. Most of the members of the box C/D family function in directing site-specific 2'-O-methylation of substrate RNAs.
Source: Rfam by way of RNAcentral